This 696-nucleotide ribosomal RNA is filed under the name uncultured bacterium. RNAcentral's name for it is "bacterial SSU rRNA". It matches the Rfam family "Bacterial small subunit ribosomal RNA", at positions 111 to 823 of the family's 1533-position model. The record is from RNAcentral.
UAACGCGUGAGGAACCUGCCUCAAAGAGGGGGACAACAGUUGGAAACGACUGCUAAUACCGCAUAAGCCCACGACCCGGCAUCGGGUUGAGGGAAAAGGAGCAAUCCGCUUUGAGAUGGCCUCGCGUCCGAUUAGCUAGUUGGUGAGGUAAUGGCCCACCAAGGCAACGAUCGGUAGCCGGACUGAGAGGUUGAACGGCCACAUUGGGACUGAGACACGGCCCAGACUCCUACGGGAGGCAGCAGUGGGGAAUAUUGCACAAUGGGGGAAACCCUGAUGCAGCGACGCCGCGUGGAGGAAGAAGGUCUUCGGAUUGUAAACUCCUGUUGUUGAGGAAGAUAAUGACGGUACUCAACAAGGAAGUGACGGCUAACUACGUGCCAGCAGCCGCGGUAAAACGUAGGUCACAAGCGUUGUCCGGAAUUACUGGGUGUAAAGGGAGCGCAGGCGGGAAGACAAGUUGGAAGUGAAAUCUAUGGGCUCAACCCAUAAACUGCUUUCAAAACUGUUUUUCUUGAGUAGUGCAGAGGUAGGCGGAAUUCCCGGUGUAGCGGUGGAAUGCGUAGAUAUCGGGAGGAACACCAGUGGCGAAGGCGGCCUACUGGGCACCAACUGACGCUGAGGCUCGAAAGUGUGGGUAGCAAACAGGAUUAGGUACCCUGGUAGUCCACACCGUAAACGAUGAUUACUAGGUGU